UAUGUUGUGGACUAAUGGGUAAGUCAUAAAUUUUUGAUAUUUACUAUUAAGUGUUCGAAUCACUUCAACAUAA
This is a non-coding RNA of Verticillium dahliae VdLs.17, 73 nucleotides long. The record is from Rfam. NCBI's taxonomy places the organism in Eukaryota, Fungi, Ascomycota, Sordariomycetes, Glomerellales, Plectosphaerellaceae.